This 1020-nucleotide long non-coding RNA is filed under the name Piliocolobus tephrosceles (Ugandan red Colobus). RNAcentral's name for it is "lncRNA (ENSPTEG00000021091.1)". The record is from RNAcentral. Lineage: Eukaryota; Metazoa; Chordata; Mammalia; Primates; Cercopithecidae.
AUGGAUCGAAAUUUGAAAAAAAGCAAAAAAAAAAAAAAAAAGGAAGCAAAUAUUUACAAAGGUGAUAUAAAAAUUUAUGUUCCUAAUGGGUUACAAAAUGGAGAAAUAUGUGAAAAUGGAAAACCAAAAAAAAGCUUAAGACAAAGGAUAUAUGACAAUGAAGCUAUAUUUUAUUCAGAUUAUAUUGAACAAGAAGCAGCAAAAGAUUAUGAAUGGUUAUUUAAAAAGCCAUAUAAAAUAAAAAGAAAAGAUGAAGGGGGUAAAUAUUAUUUUUAUGGAAAAAAAUUAUUAAUGAAUGAAGAAGAAGAUAUAUAUAGGAAAUAUUAUAAUUUAGAUGAUGAAUAUUUUAUAAAAAAAUUACAAUUAAAAAAAGAAAUGGAUAAAAAACAAAAAAAAGCUAAUACAAAUAAUAAAAUAAAAAUAAAAGAACAUAUAAAAUCACGAAAUGAAUAUGAACAAUUAAGUUAUGAUGAAAAAAAAUAUAUACAAUACGUAAUAAAUAAAUAUGAAUAUACAGACAUAGAUGUAUACGAUUUUUAUAAAAAAAAUAAAAAUAUAAUAAAAAGUAAUUUAUCACAAACAAAAAAGGAAGAACUAUUAUUUGGUAAAAUGCCUGAUAUUAUUUUACCGAGAAAAGAUAAAAAAUUAAAAAGUUUACCUCAUUCUUAUGUCGAAUUAUAUUAUUUAAAUACUUAUGCUAAUUUUAUUGAUAGUAUGUUUAAAUGUCCAUAUAUAUACACAGCUAUUGAUGCUGAAUUAGGCAAGUAUUGGAAAACAAAUGAUCAAGAAUUAAACAAAUAUAUAAAAACAGAAAAAGUAACAAAACCUAAUAAAAAAGACAUAUUAUAUUCAGUAACAAAAGAGCAAUUAGAAAAAUCGAGCAAUAAACUUAAAAAUCUAUUUAAAGAAGAAGAAAAAAAAAAUGAAGAUAAAAAAAAUUUUAAAGUUACUUUAAAAGUAGAUACAAAAAAAAACGAACCAGAAAAUAAAGUUAUAUGUAAUGGUAGAUACAUCAUAUGA